Molecule: unclassified non-coding RNA, 371 nt
Filed under: soil metagenome
Description: partial contains 5.8S ribosomal RNA, internal transcribed spacer 2, and large subunit ribosomal RNA
Rfam family: 5.8S ribosomal RNA (bases 1-120)
Source: RNAcentral
GAUGAAGAACGCAGCGAAAUGCGAUAAGUAGUGUGAAUUGCAGAAUUCAGUGAAUCAUCGAAUCUUUGAACGCACAUUGCGCCCUUUGGUAUUCCUUAGGGCAUGCCUGUUCGAGCGUCUCAGGGACGAACCCUCGCGCGGGUGUACGCGCGGUCGUGGCUGCGGUGGCGUGCCCGAGGCGGCGGCCACCGCGCUGGAAUCCAUGGGCGGACGCCUGCCGCGUGGCCGAGCGUGAUAUGACGCAUUGGCGCUCGCACGCGGCGAGGCUGCCAGCCCUGGCCCGUCUGUCGGGCGGGGGAGAGCAAGACACGUGAACUCCUCGAAUCAGGUAGGGAUACCCGCUGAACUUAAGCAUAUCAAUAAGCGGAGGA